RNAcentral lists this small nuclear RNA (121 nucleotides) under Neogale vison (American mink). RNAcentral describes it as "Neovison vison (American mink) U4 spliceosomal RNA (ENSNVIG00000009326.1)". It matches the Rfam family "U4 spliceosomal RNA". From Rfam's summary of the family: U4 small nuclear RNA (U4 snRNA) is a component of the major U2-dependent spliceosome. The structure of U4 snRNA from yeast and human has been reported. The record is from RNAcentral. Lineage: Eukaryota; Metazoa; Chordata; Mammalia; Carnivora; Mustelidae.
AGCUUUGCACAGUGGCAGUAUCGUAGCCAAUGAGGUUUAUCCGAGGCGCGAUUAUUGCUGAUUGAAAACUUUUCUAUAUCUUCCCAAAAAGAAAUUUGUGUUUUUUUUUCUCUUUUUAAAA